UUUGUUUUAUUUUUUUUAUAUUAUUUUUGUAAAAUGUUUUAAUUUUAUUAUAUUUUUAAAGAUAUUGAAAAUUUGUUUGUUGAACUGGAUUAGUACCCAGGUAAUCAAAAUUUAUUAAUUCGGGAGUAAAGUUUUGUUUAAACCGAAAAAAUAUUGACUGACUUUAGAUUUUUCUUUGGAACAUGUGUAUGGAGAGUCCUCUUUUUUAGUGAGUUUUAUUGGCACAUGUAUGAUUGUUUAGUUUUUAUGUUAUUUUGUGAUGCUUUUUUUUGUUUAAUUGAAAAACAGAUAUAUAUUUGGUUUAUAAGCUUGUUAAUCAUGUGUUACUAUUAUUAAUUUUUUUUGGAUCUUUUUUUUAAUAUUUUGUGAAAUUGGAAAAGAAAGUAAUUAAAUUUUGAUAUUUUGAUGAAUU
Molecule: ribosomal RNA, 412 nt
Filed under: Loa loa (African eye worm)
Lineage: Eukaryota; Metazoa; Nematoda; Chromadorea; Rhabditida; Onchocercidae
Description: partial 12S ribosomal RNA
Source: RNAcentral